Long non-coding RNA from Ochotona princeps (American pika), 1872 nucleotides. RefSeq lists it as uncharacterized. The transcript has 4 exons. NCBI's taxonomy places the organism in Eukaryota, Metazoa, Chordata, Mammalia, Lagomorpha, Ochotonidae. The record is from RefSeq and is a predicted model, not a curated record.
GUCCUCUUCCAGGAUUGGCUGCUCCCUCAUAAGCAUAAGAUAAUUAAAACGAAGGGGGGGAGGGUUAAAAAAACGUUUUUAUCAGGCAGAGGUUAAUGCAAGUGUUUAACAGAUGCUUCACUAUUAAAAUAUUUAUUCCCCCCCCCGUCUCAAAUAUUGAAGAAUCUCAAACCAGGCGCGGUUCUUAGGGAAGGACAGCUGAAACCAGUCCAUCCCCUUCCCCCCCGUGGGUCUUCACUUCCUCGGUCUACAUCUGCCCAUGACUUCAGCAAGGUCAACUUUAGAUUGGCCAAGAUGCCAUCUCAGAGCAAGAUCCCUCUGCAAAACCUUGGGCCAGCGUGACUGUGGUAGUUACGGCUCAGAGGAUUCAUUCUGCAUAAUUUAUGUUACCUGCUUCACUGAUGAAGGCAUUUGAGUUUCCUGAACUAAACAGAGAAGGAAAGGAUUAUCUUGUUUCCCCCAAACCAUGUCAAAUUUGGAUGAAGGAGAAAAGGAACAGAAACAAAUCAGAUGCCAAAGCAGAAUGAAUAGCCCAAAGUGCUUGGCUCUGAAUGGGUCUGUGAAGGCAGCAAUCUAACUCAUGUUCUUGUAGUCCAAAAGUGACAGGUGGGAGGCAUUAUUCCUCCAGCAACCAUCAAGACAAGAAGUGAGUCUGCUUCUACAGUGGAAAAAUUCUGGUGUCAAAACAGAGCGCUGUGCUAGAUGGGCGAUUUCUGCGUUGUUCACAAACACUCCGUGGCUUUGAACGAACAGCCUUGGCUUCUGUGAGCCUGGUGUUAUGGAAGGAGGGGGAAGCCACCAAACGACCAACAUCCUUUGGGACUCUUACAUUCUUUGAUUCAAAGAAACCAUGUUUUGGGUACAAUGAUUCGCUUUUUCUGGUAAUCUGACGUUCAGUUUUCCUUAUUUAACUUGCAAUGCUGUCAUUCCAAAGGGCUUCUUAGAGAUAGCUCCAAAAUUUGGAUUCUGUUUCCCAUUUUAAACAACCAUAGGCAAAUUUUUGGAGUUUUGCUUGGGGGGGAAAAGAAAAAAGCUAAACAUAUGAUUAGGCAAACUGUAAAGUUGUAGGAAGAUAGAGAGAUUAGACAUUUUUUUUUCUAGCAAAGGCAUUUAAGUGGUAAGAGGAGAGUGAAAGAAGAAAAAAAAAAGCACGAAGAAAGAAGUGGGGGAGGAAGAGGAAAUAGAAGUAGUGCAGCCCCUCCUGGCCUGCAGGUCUUUGAAGUAAGGCCAGACUGCAGCAGAGGAUUGUGGGAAAUGAGGUCAAGAGAAAAAAACAGCUGGAGGCCCUUUGUUCAGAGGUUAAUGGUUAUGUGUCAGAAGCUCUUUAUCAGAGGAAAAUACCCUGGGCAGUUCUAGAUACUUUUUAGAGGAACAAACUAAUUUUGUGGAAAUUUCCUAAAGUUUCUAUGAGAGAAGAGUUCUUCAAUUUAUAACCUAAAUGUAAAUGUAAUGUAUUUAAAUAAACACAUGCAGAUAUGAUACAUGUAUAGUAAUCAGAAGAUCUGUUUUAAUUAGAAAUGGCAACACACUGUGGAAGAGGUCUGGUGUUUCAUAUUUUCAAAACAAGGGUUGGGUGAAUGAAGCGCCGAUAGUGAUCUGAGGUGCCUUUUCAUUGCUCACCAGCAUCUGUGCUGUUUCCACAAGUUCAGCAAAUUAAUAGCCUUGUAAAUUAAAAAUAAGGACAAUGAUCUUUGCUCUUCUAAGACAGUCUGGUUCCUGAGGGAUUCCAGCCAAAGGUCAAGGCUAAGUAAAUGUGAGUUUGCUAAAGCAAAAUCUAUUUUUUUUUUCAGAUACCUUGGUGAGUGAGUGUGUAAAAUGAGCAGUUUGCUACAGAAACAUUAGGAAAGUUUGCAGAAGGUAUAGGAGGCAGGA